RNAcentral lists this unclassified non-coding RNA (187 nucleotides) under Gomphrena phaeotricha. RNAcentral's name for it is "ITS2". Lineage: Eukaryota; Viridiplantae; Streptophyta; Magnoliopsida; Caryophyllales; Amaranthaceae. The record is from RNAcentral.
CAUAGCGUCUCACCUAUCCCAUCAAAACUUGGGUAAGGAGAGGAUGAUGGCCUCCCAUGUCACACCUGGCGUGGAUGGCCUAAAAAAGGAGCCUUGGGUUACUAGAUGCCGUGGCGAUUGGUGGUAUAAACAUCUCGUCACGGAAUAAGUAGCUUAAUUGGCCUCGAAGAACCCUUUGUUAACCUUU